RNAcentral lists this ribosomal RNA (1515 nucleotides) under Triticum aestivum (bread wheat). RNAcentral describes it as "partial small subunit ribosomal RNA". Lineage: Eukaryota; Viridiplantae; Streptophyta; Magnoliopsida; Poales; Poaceae. The record is from RNAcentral.
AUGGAUUCGACGGAAGCCCUGCCGGACGACGCGCUCGCAAACAUCCUCCGCCGCCUCCCGGCAUCCGACCUCGCCGCGUCCUGCUGCGUGCGCAAGGCGUGGUGCGCCAUCGUCGACGCCCACCGGCUGUUGCUUCCGCACUUUCUCCCGCGUGCGGUGCGCGGCCUCUUCGUCAACUACAUCGACUACGACCGCCCGCGCUUCUUCACCCGCCCCUCGACGGAGCGGCCCGCGAUCAACGGCGAUCUUGGCUUCUUGCCUGGGUACAAUUGGGAUUUCGAGCCAAUUGUGGAUCACUGCAACGGCCUCCUUAUCUACGGCAGUGAGUGGAGGGCGUUCUGCGUGGUCAACCCUGCCACAAGACGGUGGGAGCGUCUCCCACGCCUUGAUGCCAAGAACUACAACACGUACCUCGUGUUUGAUCCUGCCGUGUCACCGCAUUACCAAGUGUUUGCGAUUCCACAGGUGCCCGAGAAAGUUGUUCCAGUCCAACCACAACCAGUGCCCGACAAGAAGCCACCAACACCCUUCUGCCUCACUGAGUUUUUCUCGUUGUUUGAAGAUACACCAGAAGUACUCACCAAGGACUUGGAAGAGGACUGCGAAGAUGGACCAUCGGAAUUGUCACCGGAACAAACCAUUGAAGAGGACAUACCCGCACCGUCACCAAUUGAGGUUCCAGAAGACCCACUAAUUGAGGAUCCAGAAGACUUGGUAGAAUUUCCACCAUCCUCAUGGAUGCUAGACGUGUUCUCGUCUAGUACAAAAGAAUGGCAAAAGAGGUUGUUUGUCCGUGAAGGUGAGGCUUUGGACACGGUGGCUACUAUACGGCUGGAUAGAUUGGAACCAACAUUUUAUGGGCCGAGGUGGCGCUACGGUGUCUACCGGCGAGGAGCAUUCUAUGUGCAUUGUCGUGGUGCAUUUGUUGCAAGGUUAUCCUUAAAGGAUGGCAAGUACCAACUAGUGAAAACACCAAUAGAUAUCGAGGAAAGCAAGCGUGCACAACCUUAUCUGGGGAAAUCAGAAAAAGGGGUUUACUUUGCAACAAUUCACGAUGAAUAUCUAUUUCGGGUUUGGAUUUUAAAUGAAUCAUGUUGUCAGAUAUCUUGGGCAUUGAAGCAUCACAUUGAUCUUAACCCAUGGGCAACGAUAUAUUUGAACCAGCCUAAGGGAAUUGACAAAACUUGGUUCUUAUAUGGUGAUAAUAAUGAAGAUGGAACCAAUGGGGAUGAGAAUUUUGAAUGGAACUCCGAUGACGAUAACGUUCUGAAUAUUGAAGAUGAUUAUGAACCUUUCUACAGCCAUGUUUCUAUCCUCGGAUUUCACCCCUACAAAGAGAUUGUUUUCUUAGAGGUAUCAUCAUUCAGAGUAGUGGCUUAUCAUCUGAAUAGCUCAAAAGUUCAGUACCUGGGCAGAUUACGCCCAAAGGAUUAUUAUCAGUCAUUUACAAAUGGCAUAUAUGAAUCAUUUCUGUACACCCCUUGCAUGAUUGGGGAGCUUUCAGAACGUGCUUGA